Long non-coding RNA from Ipomoea nil (Japanese morning glory), 2002 nucleotides. RefSeq lists it as uncharacterized. The record is from RefSeq and is a predicted model, not a curated record. NCBI's taxonomy places the organism in Eukaryota, Viridiplantae, Streptophyta, Magnoliopsida, Solanales, Convolvulaceae. The transcript is spliced from 4 exons.
CACAAUUUGGUUGACUGUGAGACCCCAACACCUUCAGUAAGUCUUUUCUGCGACUUUGGUUGCCUAAUCUACCCCGCUAUCUCGCUCGCUGCCCCUCGGCUUAUCUUCGCCGUGAGCUACUCUCUAUCUUCACAGGAAUGGUUCUGUACUUCCUCAGUCUACUAUGGCACCGUGAAGAAACCCUAGGCUUCAUUAGAAAGGUUACAGAUCCUGUUGUUAAUAUGGGAAUCUGAGUGCAAUUUCUGGUAAUUUCAUCCUAUUUUUUGUUGUUCUUUCAUUUCUAAGAAAGCCAUGUUUAGGAUCUUUCUUUCAAUCGGUGAAGGAUUGGCUAAAAACACCUUGACUAUGAAAGAUGACUAAGUCUUGAACACCGGAUUGCGACAUGCAAACAGGUAAUGUCGCAAUUUCAGUGCAGAGGUUUCGCGACUACUUUAAAUGCUUACCGAUUCCGGAUUGAGUUGUGUAACAGUUCUCUAUCUGUUUUUUUAUGUGCUCUAUAUUUGCGAUAGUGUAUUUUUCCCCAAAAAAGUUGGGGAAUAUGAAUCUGAGUCUAGGGUUUUAGCGAAUCCUUUGUCUGAUUUGCGAUUCUGGAAAGAGAUAUAUGCUAAGCUUGGCGCUAACCAUGGUAGAAGUGGCAAUCGGUGACUUGAGUUCAAAUCGUUUCAGUAAAGCCUCACUUUUGAGAUAAGUUUCAAUCUACUUCAUUUUAACUUUUUUAUAAAAAUUGUAUAUUUGUAGUGUUGAGCCGAUAAAAUGUUUAUUUGUAGUGUUAAUUAAUUUACACUUAGAUUUGAUGUUGAUAUACAUUUCUCUGGUUAAUAUGUUCUCCCUAAUACAUUUUGCUAAUUCUGUCACUCCCUAAUAGGUUGAAUCAUGCUCUUUGCAUUGAUUCUAUUGAAGCUAUUGUUCUGACUACACGGAAGGGUUCACAAUUUACACAGAGAGCUUAGAAAAGAGAUAAGUUUUCCUACUACUACAAUUAAACAUGUAAUAGUAGACAUACCUUUUGUUUGAUGACACUGUUUCCUCUUGGGUCCAAUUGUGCAUGAUGAUGUAAUUCUCCUCAUGUUCUGCAAUAGAAAUGGUUUAACUACUGUGUUUUUGAUGGAUUGAGUUUAUUGUGUUCAAACCAUUGUUGUAAAUCCAAGUCAUGUUUAUAUUGGUUGUGUAUUUAUAGGGAAGGUAAACUGCUUUGUCUUUCAAAUGAUGUUUCAGGGCUUAAUUAUUCAUGUUAUCAAGUACAUAGAGAACCUCAAAGGUUUUUGAAAGUGUUGUGUAUUAAUCCCAAAGAAAAAAUAUGAUUUUUUUGUUUUUAUUUUAAUGAAGAUGAAAGGUUAAUGUAUGUUGUUAUAGUUUUAUUUAUUUAGGUGGUGAUACUUUUUACUUGGUAACUGAAUGUAUAUUUUUGUGCAUUCUAUGUCCUAAAAUGAUUGUCACUUGGGGCUUCAUUUGAAAACUGGAUUAAGAAAAAAUUUGUAUAAGUGUAUAUAAGUUUGACUUCAUUUACACUUUUUAAAAUCGAUUUUUGCAGGGCAUCUUGAAUUCGAUUUUUGUAGAGGUGUUGGGGUCACAGAUCAGAGAUCUUACCUGACCCAAACGUAAACUUGGGAACCAAACCGAGUAUGCAGAAGAGAUCUUGUACACUGUUUAAAUGAUGCUCCAAAGUUGUGAGGGCGAAAGGGAUACACAUUGUGAUAUUGUUUUGGAAGGCAAAGCAGAUCACUAGUGUAGAUGAGCGUGUUUGAUUCGAAGAUGAGCACUGGUGUACAAAUGCUUCGACUGUUAUUUAAAUAGCCAUGGCCUGCACUAUCGUUGGAAAACCCAAUUCGGCGUAAUGAAUAUGUGAACAUAAUUGUUUACAUAAAUAUGUUAUCAGAAAACGCAGAGACCAACCUAUUUCAAAUUAGGUCUUUAAUUUGAUUGGUUGAAAUUGAUUCUGUAAACCAAAAAUAAAAGGAAACAAUUAUUUUUUUUUAAAAAGUCUUUGGUAACUGAACGGUCU